Molecule: transfer RNA, 84 nt
Filed under: Harashuteria hirsuta
Lineage: Eukaryota; Viridiplantae; Streptophyta; Magnoliopsida; Fabales; Fabaceae
Description: tRNA-Tyr
Source: RNAcentral
UGAAGAUCUCUAUCCCUCUUACCCAAUUUCCAGAUGGAUUCUCGUUUUUUUUAUUUCCCGGCUUAGUAUUACCCAUCAAUAUAC